CAUAUUAAAGUUUAUUUAGAAUUUUUCUUUUACACUGAAAAGGCCUCAUUAUUUGGGUAGUAUGAGAA
RNAcentral lists this transfer RNA (68 nucleotides) under Parafontaria tokaiensis. Its description in RNAcentral is "tRNA-Val". Lineage: Eukaryota; Metazoa; Arthropoda; Diplopoda; Polydesmida; Xystodesmidae. The record is from RNAcentral.